RNAcentral lists this transfer RNA (73 nucleotides) under Scleropages formosus (Asian bonytongue). It matches the Rfam family "tRNA". From Rfam's summary of the family: Transfer RNA (tRNA) molecules are approximately 80 nucleotides in length. Their secondary structure includes four short double-helical elements and three loops (D, anti-codon, and T loops). Lineage: Eukaryota; Metazoa; Chordata; Actinopteri; Osteoglossiformes; Osteoglossidae. The record is from Rfam by way of RNAcentral.
AGCUGUGUAGCCUAAUGGAUAAGGUAUCUGAUUUUGGAUCAUAAGAUUCAGGUUCCAAGUCCCUUCAUGGUUG